This is an RNA transcript of Brassica oleracea var. oleracea, 689 nucleotides long. RefSeq lists it as uncharacterized. The transcript has 5 exons. Lineage: Eukaryota; Viridiplantae; Streptophyta; Magnoliopsida; Brassicales; Brassicaceae. The record is from RefSeq and is a predicted model, not a curated record.
UCGAAUCUCACUUUCCCGGCUUUCUUUCUCUAUCAUUUACAAUAUGGCUUCUGCUUGCAACAGAUUCAUGAACAGAUCCUCCGUCUCCUCUCUCAGAUCCGCCAUCAGAUCUUCGCUCCACAAAUCUCCAAUCGGCACCGGAUCUUCGCCGAGUGCUUCGUCCGCCGGGUUUCGAAUCCCGUCUAAACCCGCCGCUUCUCCCCGAUUCUCCUUCUCCAGGUGUCCAUCUGAGCUUGGUUGUGCUCAGUCGCUUUUGCCGCUUCACAGCACGGUGGCGGCGGCUCGGCUGACGUCGUGCCUUAGCGUAACUUCAAGAAACAGCCGAGCUCUCUCUCAGGGUACUCUCUGCUGCACCUCUCCCGACCUUUGAUACUCUUUUCCUGCUUAUUUUGCUUGCACAUAAUUUUCACCGUUACCAUGUGGGAUCCUUGCAUCUUUAUCAAAUGGAAUCGAUGGCACGUGAGACUAUUUGCACUUGUUUUUAAAGAGAUGGGUCUUUCAGUCCCAAGGUGACUUGAUACAUUCAUGAAGAGCAUUACAUUACUAUCGGGAGGCAAGCUUCUUCUCUUAAAGUUAGAGACAAUAAGUUUAAUUUUUUUUUUGUCUAAACUCUUGUUUCUAAAUUCAUGAAUAAAAAUAUGUAAUACUAUUCCUCCUCAUUACACGACUCCUCUCUCAGUUUCUAGCCA